GGUGAUGCCAGAUGGAAAGCAUUCAGCCUGGAGCUCGGUGACCAGUGGUUUUCUGCACGGAGAGGUUACAGGACCUCUGCUCUUGGUACUCGGGAAGUUCCUGACUCAAUAGACUUCCCAACUGCUGUGCGUCUCAUCCAUCACCUCAUUGAAGAUGGUUGGUCAGCCAGGGAGACAAAGGGCAGGGAGAUCUGGAGCCUUUAAUAAAUCCUGCAGUGAGGUACUCAGGAAGGUUCAGACUCGAUUAACUUCCCAGCUGCUGGGUGUCUCGUCCAUCAUCACAUUGAAGAUAGUUGGUCAGCCAGAGAGACAAAAGAGAGGGAGAUCUGCAGCCUUCAAUAAAUCCUGC
Long non-coding RNA from Hemiscyllium ocellatum (epaulette shark), 349 nucleotides. RefSeq lists it as uncharacterized. Lineage: Eukaryota; Metazoa; Chordata; Chondrichthyes; Orectolobiformes; Hemiscylliidae. The transcript is spliced from 3 exons. The record is from RefSeq and is a predicted model, not a curated record.